AACUUAUAGAAUGAAUUCUUUGGUUCAUCAAGCAAAAUCUUCAGCCACUGAAGUAGUUAACUCAGAGAAAGGUGAAUGCAAGAUUGUUUCAGGGAAGGCUAAAAUCGGUGGUCAAGAAAACAAUGGAAAUGCUAAGGAGAGACAGCGCCUCACAAGUUCCCUGUUUGUAAAGGUGAAUAUGGAUGGAAGUCCAAUUGGAAGGAAAGUCAACCUAACUGCGCACAGUAGCUAUGAAGCCCUAGCACAAACGCUGGAGGAUAUGUUCCAGGGACCGUCUUCAAAUGCGAAAUUGAUACGUUAGUACUCUUAGCCUUUAUAUCCAGUAUUUAAAUUGAAUAUAGGUUAGUCGUAUAUUCUAUUUCUGAAUCUGGGUGACUUGAGUGAAAAUUGUGCAAAAUUCUUCUGUUGAAGUUGGUGCCAUCUUGCUAUGCUUUUUUGGAAUGUCAAUUUAAUGUAGGAAAAACAAUCCAAAAGUUAUGUUUCUUCAUGACAGUUUUGUCAAAUUGUCUGUAGGAAAAGUAAAAAGAUUGGUAUGUUAAAUAAUAGAUGUGUUGGGAUUUGAGAUAACAAUCAAAUGUAUAGUGUUGUGUCACUCAAUGUCCAUUUACUUGGACAAGAGAAUUGAAUUUGUCUAUAUUGCUGACUAGUGAUAGAAACCUUUUGUUUUUCCUUUGAGUAAUGAUGUUCCAUGUAUCUAUAUUUAGGUGCUGGUGGUCAGGAGCAUGAUAUGAUGGUGGGAGAAACUACACCGUCGAAGUUGCUUGAUGGAUCAUUUGAUUUUGCACUCACUUAUGAAGACAAAGAAGGUGACUGGAUGCUUGUUGGGGAUGUUCCUUGGG
This 839-nucleotide long non-coding RNA is filed under the name Fragaria vesca (wild strawberry). RNAcentral's name for it is "long non-coding RNA (FVES_LNC000578)". The record is from RNAcentral. Lineage: Eukaryota; Viridiplantae; Streptophyta; Magnoliopsida; Rosales; Rosaceae.